AACGUACGCUGGCGGCACGCUUAACACAUGCAAGUCGAACGAAGUAGCAAUACUUAGUGGCAGACGGGUGAGUAACAUGUGGGUAUCUGCCCUUUGGCCUGGAAUAACACGAGGAAACUUGUGCUAAUACCGGAUAAGUCUUUACGGAGAAAGCUUUAUGCACCAUUGGAUGAGCCUGCACUUGAUUAGUUUGUUGGUGGGGUAAUGGCCUACCAAGACUGUGAUCAAUAGCCGAUUUGAGAGGAUGAUCAGCCACAUUGGGACUGAGACACGGCCCAAACUCCUACGGGAGGCAGCAGUGGGGAAUCUUGCACAAUGGAGGAAACUCUGAUGCAGCGAUGCCGCGUGAGUGAAGAAGGCCCUUGGGUUGUAAAGCUCUUUCGUCGGGGAAGAAAAUGACUGUACCCGAAUAAGAAGGUCCGGCUAACUUCGUGCCAGCAGCCGCGGUAAUACGAAGGGACCUAGCGUAGUUCGGAAUUACUGGGCUUAAAGAGUUCGUAGGUGGUUGAAAAAGUUAGUGGUGAAAUCCCAGAGCUUAACUCUGGAACUGCCAUUAAAACUUUUCAGCUAGAGUAUGAUAGAGGAAAGCAGAAUUUCUAGUGUAGAGGUGAAAUUCGUAGAUAUUAGAAAGAAUACCAAUUGCGAAGGCAGCUUUCUGGAUCAUUACUGACACUGAGGAACGAAAGCAUGGGUAGCGAAGAGGAUUAGAUACCCUCGUAGUCCAUGCCGUAAACGAUGUGUGUUAGACGUUGGAAAUUUAUUUUCAGUGUCGCAGCGAAAGCGAUAAACACACCGCCUGGGGAGUACGACCGCAAGGUUAAAACUCAAAUGAAUUGACGGGGACCCGCACAAGUAGUGGAGCAUGUGGUUUAAUUCGAAGAUACGCGCAGAACCUUACCAACACUUGACAUGUUCGUCGCGACUCUAAGAGAUUAGAGUUUUCGGUUCGGCCGGACGAAACACAGGUGCUGCAUGGCUGUCGUCAGCUCGUGUCGUGAGAUGUUGGGUUAAGUCCCGCAACGAGCGCAACCCUCACUUUUAGUUGCCAUCAUUAAGUUGGGCACUCUGAAAGAACUGCCAGUGAUAAGCUGGAGGAAGGUGGGGAUGACGUCAAGUCCUCAUGGCCCUUACGUGUUGGGCUACACACGUGCUACAAUGGUAUCUACAACAGGAAGCAAGACUGCGAGGUCAAGCAAAUCCUUAAAAGAUACCUCAGUUCGGAUUGCACUCUGCAACUCGAGUGCAUGAAGCUGGAAUUACUAGUAAUCGUGGAUCAGCGUGCCACGGUGAAUGCGUUCCCGGGUCU
This 1306-nucleotide ribosomal RNA is filed under the name uncultured bacterium. RNAcentral describes it as "bacterial SSU rRNA". It matches the Rfam family "Bacterial small subunit ribosomal RNA", at positions 28 to 1381 of the family's 1533-position model. The record is from RNAcentral.